AUUGAACGCUGGCGGCAGGCCUAACACAUGCAAGUCGAGCGGCAGCGGAAAGUAGCUUGCUACUUUGCCGGCGAGCGGCGGACGGGUGAGUAAUGUCUGGGAAACUGCCCGAUGGAGGGGGAUAACUAAUGGAAACGGUAGCUAAUACCGCAUAACGUCGCAAGACCAAAGAGGGGGACCUUCGGGCCUCUUGCCAUCGGAUGUGCCCAGAUGGGAAUAGCUAGUAGGUGGGGUAACGGCUCACCUAGGCGACGAUCCCUAGCUGGUCUGAGAGGAUGACCAGCCACACUGGAACUGAGACACGGUCCAGACUCCUACGGGAGGCAGCAGUGGGGAAUAUUGCACAAUGGGCGCAAGCCUGAUGCAGCCAUGCCGCGUGUAUGAAGAAGGCCUUCGGGUUGUAAAGUACUUUCAGCGGGGAGGAAGGUGUUGAGGUUAAUAACCUCAGCAAUUGACGUUACCCGCAGAAGAAGCACCGGCUAACUCCGUGCCAGCCGCCGCAGUAA
This 506-nucleotide ribosomal RNA is filed under the name uncultured bacterium. RNAcentral describes it as "partial 16S ribosomal RNA". It matches the Rfam family "Bacterial small subunit ribosomal RNA", at positions 30 to 523 of the family's 1533-position model. The record is from RNAcentral.